RNAcentral lists this transfer RNA (90 nucleotides) under Candidatus Nomurabacteria bacterium. Its description in RNAcentral is "tRNA-Ser". It matches the Rfam family "tRNA". From Rfam's summary of the family: Transfer RNA (tRNA) molecules are approximately 80 nucleotides in length. Their secondary structure includes four short double-helical elements and three loops (D, anti-codon, and T loops). Lineage: Bacteria; Candidatus Nomuraibacteriota. The record is from RNAcentral. RNAcentral also lists the same sequence under 1 other name.
GGAGAGGUGCCUGAGUGGCCUAAAGGACACGCUUGGAAAGCGUGCGUACAGGAAACUGUACCGCGGGUUCGAAUCCCGCUCUCUCCGCCA